AUUCUUGUGCAGAGGCAAUAUCGUAGUCCAUGAAGUUCUACUGAGACGUGAUUAUUGCUGGUUGAAAACUUAACCCAAUUCCUGCCUAGAUGACUUGAAAUAUAGUCAGCAACGGCAAUUUUUGAUAGUCUCUCAGGAGA
This is a small nuclear RNA of Labrus bergylta (ballan wrasse), 140 nucleotides long. Its record names the gene U4. It matches the Rfam family "U4 spliceosomal RNA". From Rfam's summary of the family: U4 small nuclear RNA (U4 snRNA) is a component of the major U2-dependent spliceosome. The record is from Ensembl. Lineage: Eukaryota; Metazoa; Chordata; Actinopteri; Labriformes; Labridae.